GGAAUUUUGAGAAAUCGUACCCUAACUUACGGGGUUUCAAUUUUCUCAAUAAAUCGAAGUACACAAUCUUUUCAAACAUAAAUUUUUAAACGAUAUCGGGAAUUAACAAAAGAUCGUGUUUUAACUUACGAGACAUGAUUUCUUUUUUCAAACCCGAAUAAUUGAAUCAAAUAUCUUUUGAAUAAAUAAAUUUUUUGGCAUGUAUUCUUGUAUCGUGAAUUUGAUACGUUGUGUCCUAACGCAUUUGAUAUGACAUGUUGUUUUCUCGAGAUGAGGUUUUUCUAAAAAAUAAUAAAGGC
This 299-nucleotide long non-coding RNA is filed under the name Gossypium barbadense (sea-island cotton). Its description in RNAcentral is "long non-coding RNA (GBAR_LNC013302)". The record is from RNAcentral. Lineage: Eukaryota; Viridiplantae; Streptophyta; Magnoliopsida; Malvales; Malvaceae.